CCUACGGGUGGCAGCAGUGAGGAAUAUUGGUCAAUGGACGAGAGUCUGAACCAGCCAAGUAGCGUGAAGGAUGACUGCCCUAUGGGUUGUAAACUUCUUUUAUAUGGGAAUAAAACGUUCCACGUGUGGGAUUUUGUAUGUACCAUAUGAAUAAGGAUCGGCUAACUCCGUGCCAGCAGCCGCGGUAAUACGGAGGAUCCGAGCGUUAUCCGGAUUUAUUGGGUGUAAAGGGAGCGUAGGUGGGGUGGUAAGUCAGUUGUGAAAGUUUGCGGCUCAACCGUAAAAUUGCAGUUGAAACUGGCAGUCUUGAGUACAGUAGAGGUGGGCGGAAUUCGUGGUGUAGCGGUGAAAUGCUUAGAUAUCACGAAGAACUCCGAUUGCGAAGGCAGUUCACUGGACUGCAACUGACACUGAGGCUCGAAAGUGUGGGUAUCAAACAGGAUUAGAUACCCGGGUAGUC
RNAcentral lists this ribosomal RNA (460 nucleotides) under uncultured bacterium. RNAcentral's name for it is "partial 16S ribosomal RNA". It matches the Rfam family "Bacterial small subunit ribosomal RNA", at positions 338 to 795 of the family's 1533-position model. The record is from RNAcentral.